GUGUCAGCAGCCGCGGUAAUACGUAGGCAGCAAGCGUUGUUCGGAGUUACUGGGCGUAAAGGGUGUGUAGGCGGUCCCUUAAGUUUGUCGUGAAAUCUCCCGGCUCAACUGGGAGGGUGCGGCGAAUACUGAGGGGCUAGAGUGCGGGAGAGGAAAGUGGAAUUCCUGGUGUAGCGGUGAAAUGCGUAGAUAUCAGGAGGAACACCGGUGGUGUAAACGGCUUUCUGGACCGUAACUGACGCUGAGACACGAAAGCGUGGGUAGCAAACAGGAUUAGAUACCCGUGUAGUCC
Molecule: ribosomal RNA, 292 nt
Filed under: uncultured bacterium
Lineage: Bacteria
Description: partial 16S ribosomal RNA
Rfam family: Bacterial small subunit ribosomal RNA
Source: RNAcentral